GCCCGGGUGGUGAAACUGGUAGACGCAGGGGACUCAAAAUCCCCCGCCGCGAGGCGUGUCGGUUCGAGUCCGACCCCGGGCACCA
This 85-nucleotide transfer RNA is filed under the name Lautropia mirabilis. RNAcentral's name for it is "tRNA-Leu". It matches the Rfam family "tRNA". Rfam says of the family: Transfer RNA (tRNA) molecules are approximately 80 nucleotides in length. Their secondary structure includes four short double-helical elements and three loops (D, anti-codon, and T loops). Lineage: Bacteria; Pseudomonadati; Pseudomonadota; Betaproteobacteria; Burkholderiales; Burkholderiaceae. RNAcentral also lists the same sequence under 3 other names. The record is from RNAcentral.